Molecule: long non-coding RNA, 788 nt
Filed under: Coturnix japonica (Japanese quail)
Lineage: Eukaryota; Metazoa; Chordata; Aves; Galliformes; Phasianidae
Description: lncRNA (ENSCJPG00005003639.1)
Source: RNAcentral
AAUAAUUUCACUAAUGAAUCUGUUUAAUCAAGUUACCUGAGGUGAACAAGAUACCUGGGGAGAUUUGUAGGAAAGGGAGAGAGAUUUGUCAUAGCUACUCAUGCUAUUCUUAAGUUCGUAAGAGCACAGUAAUUCAGGUCAAUGAGGGAAAUCAGUGAACAAGAAGUAAGUCACUGAAGUGCACUGCUGAAUCAGUUUUAAGUGUGUACUCAGAUGCAAUGGGAAUUGUGGAUGGCCUAAGUCAUGGCAGCAUGGAAAUCUUUUUUAAAGCUUUUCACAUUCUGAACAGACAAACAAACAUAUGUCAUCUGCUGAUUUAAUGUUUAAGGACCCUGUUUGCAGGCCAGCCUCUUCCCAGAUACAUAUCCUUUAUGGACACUGAAAGAGUCUGUUGUGGCAAAGUCACUCAUUUCUUUCCCCUCUCUUAAUAUUACAGAUAUCAGUGUUGCUGUGUGUUUCCUUCUUACGCCCCUCCUGCAGAAAGCCUUCUGAGUGUUCUCCAGAUAGAAAAGCCCUCCCUGCCUGCACUUUCCCAACACUGGCGCUCCAAGGUACACAAGGUGAAAAGCAUGCCAUACCCAACAGGUCAAAAAGCCUGCUCCCUGGUUCUUUGGCUACACGGAAGUCUAAGCUGCAGUGAGCUCAUCUCUCCAGCCCUGAAACCAGCCCCAUAUGCCAGGUAUGAGCUGCCAUGAGAAAUCACUUACUCACCUACCUGGUGCAUCUCUUAGCAGCUGAGCUGCAUUGCACUCGCUAGCAAGAGGCAUAUUGUUUGCUAAGGCUGUUAA